Molecule: long non-coding RNA, 970 nt
Organism: Lolium rigidum
Lineage: Eukaryota; Viridiplantae; Streptophyta; Magnoliopsida; Poales; Poaceae
Exons: 2
Source: RefSeq, a predicted model, not a curated record
AUUGUUGAUAUGUACCCGGUGAUACUUGAGGUGCUUGUAAGGAUUGGAAAAGAUCCUUCACAAAAGAGAUCAAGAUAUUCUCAAUGCAAUGGCGCUUGUUGGAUUGGCAAAGGAGAAAAUGAAGGAUAUGAGGUCAUCACUUGGAUGGGAAAGAUUUCUUGCAAAUGUGACAUUCUUUUGCAACACUCAUGGCAUUGAAGUUCCUUCCCCAUAAUCUAAUUAUGUGGCUCAUGGAAGAUCACAACGGUAUUAUGAAAAGCAAACAAAUGAUGAUCGUUAUAGAAGAGAAGUGUAUCUUGGUGUUGUUGAUCAAGUUAUUCAAGAGCUUGAUAAUCGGUUUGAUGAGGUUAACAUGGAGUUGCUUAUUUGUAUGGCGGCUUUGAAUCCCGUGAAUUCAUUUGCUUCUUAUGAUGCACAAAAGGUAAUGAGACUUGCUCAAUUCUACCCCAAUGACAUAUCAAGCAUGGAUUUGUUAAGACUUGAACCCCAACUUGAGAUCUUUAUUGAUGACAUGAGAAAAGAUGAUAGAUUCAAAUGUGUCAAUCAUCUUGGUGAGCUCUCUAUUAAGCUUGUUGAAACAAAAAAGCAUGUUGUUUAUGAUUUAGUUUACAUGCUUCUCAAAUUGAUAUUGCUUCUACCGGUGGCGACGGCGAAUGUUGAAAGAGUAUUUUCCGCAAUGAGUCUAGUGAAAAACAAGUUGAGAAAUAGUAUGGGUGAUAACCUCUUAAACCAUUGCUUAGUGACAUUUAUCGAGCGAGGGGUGUUCAUUCAUGUAAGUGAUGAUACCAUUGUUGAAACUUUCAUGGCAAUGCGAAACCGUAGAUUGAAGAAAUGAUGUAAGUUUCUAAUUAUGCUAUAUUCUACAUGUAAGACCCUUGUAAUGUUUUGAACUAUUUGUAUUGUAAUCGUGCACAUUUGAUAUAUGUGUUGAACUCCAAUGCAAUGAAUUUGUCUUGUAUAUUGUUCAUUA